Long non-coding RNA from Pezoporus occidentalis (night parrot), 1548 nucleotides. RefSeq lists it as uncharacterized. The transcript is spliced from 4 exons. The record is from RefSeq and is a predicted model, not a curated record. Lineage: Eukaryota; Metazoa; Chordata; Aves; Psittaciformes; Psittacidae.
AACUCUACUAAUGGAAUAUCUUCUUCUGAAAUUUUAUGUUCCAGCAUGACAAAGAAGUGCUUAUUCCCUAGAUAAACAUCAUCCUGUGUAGAGAGCUAUUCUCUUUGAACUUGUGUGAGCUGACUAAAGCUUUGUCACAAGUCUCUCUGGAGACAACUGACACUUCAGGCUGCUGGCAGAAGAACCCUUGAGGGGAUUUCUGCAAUCACUUCAACUGCACCAAAAAAAUCAGGUGUUCAUUGUUUUCCUUGAUGAUGGGCUGUGAAAGUUUGAAAAGCAAACAGUUCUGGAAACCUCUUUGGAAGAGAAAUGUGGGAGGACUCAAGCACUCCUCCCUCCAAUAGGAAACUACCAGCAGCUAAUGACCAUCUAGAGGACAACAUGUGAAGUAUGACAACCAUCUCUACACUGGAAAAAUUACUUGGAGCUUCAGUGAAAAAUCCUGUAAGGAGAACCACUAGGACCAGCAGGACCAGGAAGUCCAACGGGACCCUGUACUCCAUCACGCCCAGCGGGACCUUGAGGACCUUUUUCACCCUGGUUUUCAAGAAAAAGAAGUGAUCCACCAUUAUCACAGGAGAGUAAUGGAGAUUUCAGUACAGGGAGUCGUACUACCACUAAAAAAUAAUAGGAAAAGAGAAACAGAAAGGAAACUGUAACAGGAAGAGAAUGCAUCAGAAAAUUAUACUAAAUAAUAACGGAAGCCAAUGACAAAUACACGUCUACACUAAUACAGAGUGGCUGGGUACAAAGUUUUAAUGAAAGAAUGAUUUCACAGACUUUUAUAUCCAUUCCCUGCUGUGAUAAUAACAGGCUUAACCCUGCCUGGGUGUUACAGGUUAGGACAAUAAACAUUUUACUAUUUACUUAAUUGUAAAUGUAAAAGGACUAGAUCAGGUAUUCUGAGGAUAUGUUUAACAGGCAAAUACUGGAGUGGGGCCUGGAGGACCCUGAGGUCCAGGACGACCUGGUAGACCAAUUGGCCCAGCAGUGCCCGCUGCUCCACGUUCCCCUGGUGAACCCUGGAAAGAAAGAAGACAGUGCAAGAUAAUUCGAUACAAGCCUGAUAACUGCUGGUGGUUUUCAUGACUCGGGUCAACAGAGAAGACAAUCUAUUAUUCACUGAGAUUCCAUCUGGUAGAAGGAUACGCAUUCAGCAUGUGUGCAAGUAAGAAGAGGAACUGGUAGAGCAGCUUGGUCGGCACCUGGUGUGCAGUCAAGUAAACCCACCACAACAGCAUGAAUCCACUAUUGACUAUCCAUAGAUUUUCCACUAUGGAAGACCUCUUUCAUCUCAAUAAGGAGUUAGUGCCAAGUACUGAGCAACAAAUAAAUCCCAUACCUCCUGCUAGCAGAAGGCUUCAGAAGUUCAUAACCUUCACACUCCUUGAAUGUUUGUUAGUGUGUAACUAGUAGAAAAUAAUUAUUGAUCACUUCAAAUUACAUCUAUCUGCUGGUUUACAGACUGUGUUGAUGAAAACAUCACAGCAUGUAAAGAAGAAAAAAGGUUACUACAUAAUACUGUUUCUAUUUCCAUAAAGUUAUUAU